UGUUGCUUGCAAGGGCGUAUGGUGGAUGCCUUGGCAGACAGGACCGAUGAAGGACGUUUGAGGCUGCGAUAUGCCUCGGGGAGCCGCCAACAGGGCUUUGAUCCGAGGAUUUCCGAAUGGGGGAACCCACCGACCGUCAUGGGUCGGUACCGGCUUCGGCCGGGGGGUACGCAGGGAAGUGAAACAUCUCAGUACCUGCAGGAAAGGAUAUUCCGUGAGUAGUGGCGAGCGAAAGCGGAUGAUGGCCAAACCUUGCGCGUGUGAUACCCGUCGGGGGUUGCGCGCGGGGUGUUGCGGGAUCGCGUGCGCCGGCUCCGACGGGCCGGCCGGCAGUUGCAGAAAACCAUGUGUCAGGGGAACCGGGUUGAAUACCGGGCCGCAGAGGGUGAGGGCCCCGUACCUGAACGCGCAUGGUCUGCCGAUCGCGUCUCCCAAGUAGCACGGGUCCCGUGGAACCCCGUGCGAAUCCGCCCAGACCGUUGGGUAAGCCUGAAUAUUCCUGUCUGACCGAUAGCGAACGAGUACCGUGAGGGAAAGGUGAAAAGUACCCCGGGAGGGGAGUGAAACAGUCUCUGAAACCGUGCGCCUACAAUCCGUCGGAGCCCUUUUGUGGGGUGACGGCGUGCCUAUCGAAAAAUGAGUCUGCGAGUCAGUGGCAUGUGGCGAGCAUAACCCGUGUGGGGUAUGCGUAGCGAAGGCGAGUCUUAAAAGGCGUUUGAGUCGCGUGUCCUGGACCCGAAGCGGGAUGAUCUAGCCCUGAGCAGGUUGAAGCGCGGGUAAGACCGCGUGGAGGACCGAACCCACCUGGGUUGAAAACCGGGGGGAUGACUUGGGGCUAGGGGUGAAAGGCCAAUCAAAUUCCGUGAUAGCUGGUUCUCUCCGAAAUGCAUUUAGGUGCAGCGUCGGGGAUUACGUCCGGGGGGUAGAGCUACUGGAUGCUUGCGGGCCCGUAUCGGGUACCAACAGCAACCAAACUCCGAAUACCGGUGACGCGUAUCCCGGCAGUGAGUCGGCGGGGGAUAAGCUUCGUCGUCGAAAGGGAAACAGCCCAGACCGUCGUCUAAGGUCCCGAAGCGUGUGCUAAGUGGGAAAGGAUGUGGAGUCGCAUAGACAGCCAGGAGGUUGGCUCAGAAGCAGCCACCCUUGAAAGAGUGCGUAACAGCUCACUGGUCUAGUGGUUCCGCGCCGACAAUGUAGCGGGGCUCAAGCACACCACCGAAGACGCGGCAGUAUUUUGUACUGGGUAGGAGAGCGUCCCAUGAGGGGCGAAGCGGCCGUGUGAACGCGCCGUGGACUUCAUGGGAGUGAGAAUGCAGACAUGAGUAGCGAGAGACGGGUGAAGAUCCCGUCCGCUGGAUGACCAAGGGUUCCAGGGCCACGUUCAUCGUCCCUGGGUGAGUCGGGUCCUAAGGCGAGGCCGACAGGCGUAGUCGAAUGGAUGAACGGGUCGAUAUUCCCGUACCGGCUUUCAGCCGCCAAAACCGAGGCUUGGAGUACUAACCUCCGGGUCCGGGCUUACUGCUCCUUCGGGGGCGGGAUGCCCUGGCCUGUUGGGACCGAUCCUUGUAGUAGGUCAGCGCAGGAGUGACGCAGAAGGGUAGCCGGCCGCGGAGGUGGUCUUCCGUGGUCAAGCACGCAGGGCGUGGGACAGGCAAAUCCGUCCCGCAUGGGUCCGAGGUGCGAUGAUGGGGGCCUUAUGGCCCGAUAUCCGGUGAUCCCGGCUGCCGAGAAAAGCUUCGGCGUCAGGCUCGAAGCCGCCCGUACCCCAAACCGACACUGGUGGUCAGGUAGAGAAUACCAAAGCGAUCGAGCGAAUCCUGGUCAAGGAACUCGGCAAAUCACUCCCGUUCCUUCGGUUUAAGGGAGACCCCCGAUGGUGAACACACUUGCUGUGGGAGCUUUUGGGGGUGGCACAGACCAGGGGGUAGCGACUGUUUACCAAAAACACAGGUGCAUGCGAAGGCGAAAGCCGCUGUAUAUGCACUGACGCCUGCCCGGUGCCGGAAGGUUAAGAGGAUCCGUCAGUCCCUUCGGGAUGAAGCGGUGAAUUCAAGCCCCGGUAAACGGCGGUGGUAACUAUAACCAUCCUAAGGUAGCGAAAUUCCUUGUCGGGUAAGUUCCGACCUGCACGAAUGGCGUAACGAUCUCCACACUGUCUCGGCCAGAGACUCGGUGAAAUUGAAGUCGCGGUGAAAAUGCCGUGUACCCGCAGAAAGACGGAAAGACCCUGUGCACCUUUACUAUAGCUUGACAUUGGGAUUUGAGCCUGCAUGUGUAGCAUAGGUGGGAGGCUGUGAACUCUGUACGCCAGUAUGGAGGGAGCCAUCGUUGAAAUACCACCCUUGUUUGUUCAGGUCCCUAACUCCUUGCCGUGAUCCGGUAGGAGGACAGUGUCUGGUGGGUAGUUUGACUGGGGCGGUCGCCUCCCAAAAUGUAACGGAGGCAUGCAAAGGUUCCCUCAGGCUGAUUGGAAACCAGCCGUCGAGUGCAAACGCAAAAGGGAGCUUGACUGCAAGAGAGACAUCUCGAGCAGGUACGAAAGUAGGUGUUAGUGAUCCGGUGAUCCCGAAUGGAAGGGUCAUCGCUCAUUGGAUAAAAGGUACGCCGGGGAUAACAGGCUGAUCGCAUCCAAGAGUUCACAUCGACGAUGCGGUUUGGCACCUCGAUGUCGGCUCAUCACAUCCUGGGGCUGAAGCAGGUCCCAAGGGUUCGGCUGUUCGCCGAUUAAAGUGGUACGCGAGCUGGGUUUAGAACGUCGUGAGACAGUUCGGUCCCUAUCUGCCGUGGGCGCAGGAGAUUUGAGAGGAGCUGCUCUUAGUACGAGAGGACCAGAGUGGACGAACCGCUGGUGUACCGGUUGUAUCGCCAGAUGCAUUGCCGGGUAGCUACGUUCGGAUAGAAUAACCGCUGAAAGCAUCUAAGCGGGAACCCCCCCUCAAGAUGAGAUCUCCCAAGGUUUUAACCUAAGAAGACACCUUAAAGACCAUGAGGUCGAUAGGCAAGCCGUGUACGUAGGGUAACCUAUUUAGCGGACUUGUACUAAUCAGUCGUUCGGCUUAGUCAC
RNAcentral lists this ribosomal RNA (3064 nucleotides) under human gut metagenome. Its description in RNAcentral is "bacterial LSU rRNA". It matches the Rfam family "Bacterial large subunit ribosomal RNA". The record is from RNAcentral.